Molecule: ribosomal RNA, 2197 nt
Filed under: fermentation metagenome
Description: bacterial LSU rRNA
Rfam family: Bacterial large subunit ribosomal RNA
Source: RNAcentral
AGGGCAUACGGUGGAUGCCUUGGUACCAACAGCCGAAGAAGGACGUGGCAAGCUGCGAGAAGCUGCGGCGAGGCGCAAGCGGCCUUUGACCCGCAGAUGUCCGAAUGGGGCAACCCACCUGGAGUAGUCCAGGUAUCCCGUAAGGGAAGGAACCCGGAGAAGUGAAACAUCUCAGUAUCCGGAGGAAGAGAAAUCGAAGAGAUUCCCUAAGUAGUGGUGAGCGAACGGGGAAGAGCCUAAACCAUAUACAUGUAAGGCUGCGGUCGUUGUGUAUAUGGUGUAGAGGGGCUUUUCAUGCAUAGUCCGCAGGCUAGGCACGGAGUUAUCAAGAUACUUUUUAGCAGAACUGUGUUGGGAAAGCAGGCCAUAGACGGUGAGAGCCCGGUAUGCGACAGAGAGUAUCCUCCGAGAAGAGUUCCCGAGUAGGCCGGAGCACGUGGAAUUCCGGUUGAAUCAGGGUGGACCAUCAUCCAAGGCUAAAUACUGUUGGUGACCGAUAGUGGAUGAGUACCGAGAGGGAAGGGUGAAAAGCACCCCUGGCGGGGAGUGAAAUAGACCUGAACCCGUAUGCCUACAAGCAAUCGGAGCAAGAGAUGCCGCGAGGCAUUGAAUGUGACGGUGUGCCUUUUGUAAAAUGAGCCGGCGAGUUAUUAGACGUAGCGAGGUUAAGGUGCGUAUGUGCACUGGAGCCGUAGGGAAACCGAGUCUGAAUAGGGCGCAAGUUUCGUUUAAUAGACCCGAAGCCGCACGAUCUAUCCAUGGCCAGGUUGAAGUCCGGGUGAAGCCGGAUGGAGGACCGAACCAGUUUCUGUUGAAAAAGAUUUGGAUGAGCUGUGGAUCGGAGUGAAAAGCUAAUCGAGUGCGGUGAUAGCUGGUUCUCCCCGAUAUGCAUUGAGGUGCAGCCUUACGGAAUUGAGAUAUGGGGGUAGAGCACUGGAUGGACGCGGGGGACUGGGGUCCUACCAAAUUCAACCAAACUUCGAAUACCAUAUUUUGUACCGUAGGAGUGAGACUACGGGUGAGAAGGUCCGUGGUCGUGAGGGAAACAGCCCAGACCGUCAGCUAAGGUCCCAAAGCGUAUGCUAAGUGUGGCAAGGAUGUGAGAGUGCCUGGACAGCCAGGAGGUUGGCUUAGAAGCAGCCACCCUUUAAAGAGUGCGUAACAGCUCACUGGUCGAGGACUUUUGCGCCGAGAAUGUAGGGGGCUAAGCAUACUGCCGAAGCUGCGGGAUAUGUGCAAGAGUGUAUAUAUCGGUAGGGGAGCGUUCCAUACGGGGCGAAGCAGAGCCGCGAGGUCAUGUGGACUGUAUGGAAGUGAGAAUGCUGGCAUGAGUAACGCGAAGUGCGUGAGAAACGUACUCACCGGAAGCCCAAGGGUUCCUGGGGAAGGUUCAUCCGCCCAGGGUUAGGCGGGACCUAAGGCGAGGCCGAGAGGCGUAGUCGAUGGAUAGCAGGUAGAUAUUCCUGUCCCAGCCAAUGAGCGUUAAUACCGAAGGGGUGACACAGAAAGCUAGGUGAUCCGGGUGAUGGAAGUCCCGGUCCAAGGGUGUAGGGAGUUUCCGCAGGCAAAUCCGCGGGAAUAAUUCUGAGACCUGAUGGGGAGGCCCUACGGGGUCGAAGUCAUUGAAGCUCGGCUGUCGAGAAAAGCCUCUAGGGAGUUUGUUGGUUGCUCGUACCCGAAACCGACACAGGUGGGCUAGCUGAGGAAGCUAAGGUGAGCGGGAAAACCCUCGUUAAGGAACUCUGCAAGUUGACCCCGUAACUUCGGGAGAAGGGGUGCCACUCUGGUGAAAUAUAAUCAUAUGGAGCUAAGGGUGGUCGCAGAAACCAGGCUCAGGCGACUGUUUACUAAAAACACAGGUCUCUGCAUAAGGCGUAAGCCGAAGUAUAGGGACUGACACCUGCCCGGUGCUGGAAGGUUAAAUGGAGAGGUUAGCGUAAGCGAAGCCUUGAUAUGAAGCCCCAGUAAACGGCGGCCGUAACUAUAACGGUCCUAAGGUAGCGAAAUUCCUUGUCGGGUAAGUUCCGACCUGCACGAAUGGUGUAACGAUCUGAGCACUGUCUCAACGAGGGACCCGGUGAAAUUGUGGUACUGGUAAAGACGCCAGUUACCUGUGGUGGGACGGAAAGACCCCGUGGAGCUUUACUGUAGCCUGAUAUUGGAUUUUGGUCUGUCAUGUACAGGAUAGGUGGGAGGC